UCCCAGCUGCCACUGGAGGCCUGCGUGAGAAAUCUCCCACUUUCAGUCGGGGCAGAGGAAGGGGACUCCUCGACUCGACAGGUAAGAUUUCCCGGGAACAGUGCAAACGGCACCUGGAAAGUGCCAUCCUAUCCUGUUUACAUGUGUUAGACCCAGCUGGAAAUUCCCAGAUGACUUAGACUACGGGAUUUGUCUUUCAGUGUUUUGAUCCAUCCAUUACCUGGGGAACUGAGUGUUCCAGGUUUACCUAUGUUGUCAUCCAGGGCUUGGGUUUCUUCUUUGAAACUCCUAACAUCUGUAGAGAACACACUCCUUUUCUUUGGCAUUGUUCUCUCAAUGGACAAUCAAUGAGAGUUGUACAUCUUGGCUUUGUGUGCUCAUGGCUGGGAUGAAACAGGAAAUGCCCAUAUCCCAGAGACCCCAGAUCUCAAUUCUUCAGAGGUAUAAUAAAUCCGAGAGUGGGGAACUGGAUCCA
This is a long non-coding RNA of Erinaceus europaeus (western European hedgehog), 475 nucleotides long. RefSeq lists it as uncharacterized. NCBI's taxonomy places the organism in Eukaryota, Metazoa, Chordata, Mammalia, Eulipotyphla, Erinaceidae. The record is from RefSeq and is a predicted model, not a curated record. The transcript has 3 exons.